Pocillopora damicornis (cauliflower coral) is the source of this 573-nucleotide long non-coding RNA. Lineage: Eukaryota; Metazoa; Cnidaria; Anthozoa; Scleractinia; Pocilloporidae. The record is from RefSeq and is a predicted model, not a curated record.
AGCGUGAGUGAACAUAUGAAACAGGUCGUGAUGUUUCCUCUGGUUUUAUGUUAUAUUGGAGUAUUUCCUUCAAGAUGGUAAGCUCGUUCGUGGCUGAAGAAUCUCCUAGACGGCGUGCCCAUAAUGGCGGGAGUUGUCGCGGACGCCCACCAAGCAUUUGGCACAGGGAAGUUCCGGUUUACCCCUAUGAAUAAAGACUGACGAAGAAGUUGCAUGACGCUUAUGGUAGCCCUAGUAGUUAGAUAACAGAUUUUAAAAAUAAUAGCAGAUACAAAAAGCUUUGAAUUGUAUCAAACCGUUAUAAUGUCUGUUAGCUUUGAUAGUAAGCCUGUUAACAGAGAGUCAAAGAAAACCUUUGUGAUCGAAUGAACAGAUAAUUUUGCGACACGCACAUUUCAGACGAUUUUAAUCUUGUUUGUACUCCCAUCGACCAGGUAUAUAUAUGGAACAAGGUUCAAUUUCUCUUAGCAUUCGGCCAAAGAGAACUACUGUAUUAGAGACGCAUGAAAACUGAUCCUAAGAUUAUUUCACAACUAUAGCUGUACCUACCACAGAAGAACUGCGAUUAUUAAA